RNAcentral lists this ribosomal RNA (404 nucleotides) under Actinomycetes bacterium. RNAcentral's name for it is "Actinobacteria bacterium partial 16S ribosomal RNA". It matches the Rfam family "Bacterial small subunit ribosomal RNA", at positions 355 to 776 of the family's 1533-position model. The record is from RNAcentral. Lineage: Bacteria; Bacillati; Actinomycetota; Actinomycetes.
UGGGGAAUAUUGGACAAUGGGCGCAAGCCUGAUCCAGCCAUGCCGCGUGAGUGAUGAAGGCCCUAGGGUUGUAAAGCUCUUUCACCGGUGAAGAUAAUGACGGUAACCGGAGAAGAAGCCCCGGCUAACUUCGUGCCAGCAGCCGCGGUAAUACGAAGGGGGCUAGCGUUGUUCGGAUUUACUGGGCGUAAAGCGCACGUAGGCGGACUUUUAAGUCAGGGGUGAAAUCCCGGGGCUCAACCCCGGAACUGCCUUUGAUACUGGAAGUCUUGAGUAUGGUAGAGGUGAGUGGAAUUCCGAGUGUAGGGGUUAAAUUCGUAGAUAUUCGGAGGAACACCAGUGGCGAAGGCAGCUCACUGGACCAUUACUGACGCUGAGGUGCGAAAGCGUGGGGAGCAAACAGG